Molecule: ribosomal RNA, 537 nt
Filed under: uncultured archaeon
Lineage: Archaea
Description: bacterial SSU rRNA
Rfam family: Bacterial small subunit ribosomal RNA
Source: RNAcentral
AGCCGCGGUAAUACGUAGGGGGCGAGCGUUGUCCGGAAUUACUGGGCGUAAAGGGUGCGUAGGCGGAUAUACAAGUCCGAUGUGAAAUGCUUCGGCUUAACCGGGGAGUUGCAUUGGAAACUGUAUAUCUAGAGUGCAGGAGAGGGAAGCGGAAUUCCUAGUGUAGCGGUGAAAUGCGUAGAUAUUAGGAGGAACACCAGUGGCGAAGGCGGCUUCCUGGAUUGCAACUGACGCUGAGGCACGAAAGCUGGGGCAGCGAACAGGAUUAGAUACCCUGGUAGUCCCAGCUGUAAACGAUGGGUACUAGGUGUUGUCACUUCAUUGUGGCAGUGCCGGAGUUAACGCAAUAAGUACCCCGCCUGGGGAGUACGGCCGCAAGGCUGAAACUCAAAGGAAUUGACGGGGGCCCGCACAAGCGGUGGAGCAUGUGGUUUAAUUCGAAGCAACGCGUAGAACCUUACCAGGGCUUGACAUCCCUCUGACUGGUAUAGAGAUAUACCUUCUUUUCGGAGCAGAGGAGACAGGAGGUGCAUGGCC